GAAUCUUGGAUACAACCGAUUACGCAACAUUUCCAAGGCGACGUUCAGGGGCUUGACAAAACUACUCAGUUUGUAUUUAUUCAACAACGAACUCGAAUCCAUAGACGACGGUGUAUUUGAAGGAGUGCCGAAUCUGACCAAUCUGAACCUUCAAGGCAACCGAUUACGCAACAUUUCACUGGCGACGUUCAGGGGCUUGACAAAACUAAUCUAUCUG
Long non-coding RNA from Dreissena polymorpha, 217 nucleotides. RefSeq lists it as uncharacterized. The record is from RefSeq and is a predicted model, not a curated record. The transcript is spliced from 3 exons. Lineage: Eukaryota; Metazoa; Mollusca; Bivalvia; Myida; Dreissenidae.